This 137-nucleotide transfer RNA is filed under the name Trichoglossum hirsutum. RNAcentral's name for it is "tRNA-Arg". Lineage: Eukaryota; Fungi; Ascomycota; Geoglossomycetes; Geoglossales; Geoglossaceae. The record is from RNAcentral.
GGACGGGUGGCCUAAUGUUAGAGGAACCCGAAAACUCCCCCAACAGCAACAACUGCUAACGAUUUGUAGGGUUAAGGCGUCGGUUUUCGGCUUAUGUUGACCACCGAAGAUUGGGAGUUCGAAUCUCCUCUCGUUCG